This 506-nucleotide ribosomal RNA is filed under the name uncultured bacterium. Its description in RNAcentral is "partial 16S ribosomal RNA". It matches the Rfam family "Bacterial small subunit ribosomal RNA", at positions 29 to 523 of the family's 1533-position model. The record is from RNAcentral.
AGUGAACGCUGGCGGUAGGCCUAACACAUGCAAGUCGAACGGCAGCACAGGAGAGCUUGCUCUCUGGGUGGCGAGUGGCGGACGGGUGAGGAAUACAUCGGAAUCUACUCUGUCGUGGGGGAUAACGUAGGGAAACUUACGCUAAUAACGCAUACGACCUACGUGUGAAAGCAGGGGACCUUCGGGCCUUGCGCGAUUGAAUGAGCCGAUGUCUGAUUAGCUAGUUGGCGGGGUAAAGGCCCACCAAGGCGACGAUCCGUAGCUGGUCUUAAGGGUUGAUCAGCCACACUGGAACUGAGACACGGUCCAGACUCCUACGGGAGGCAGCAGUGGGGAAUAUUGGACAAUGGGCGCAAGCCUGAUCCAGCCAUACCGCGUGGGUGAAGAAGGCCUUCGGGUUGUAAAGCCCUUUUGUUGGGAAAGAAAUCCAGCUGGCUAAUACCCGGUUGGGAUGACGGUACCCAAAGAAUAAGCACCGGCUAACUUCGUGCCAGCAGCCGCAGUAA